GGAGGCACACAAUAGAAACAGAACUUCAACAACAGGGAAUAAAUAAAUUACGUGAACUAAUUAAAUGCAAGGAUAAAUAAUUCAGACGUCAAUGCUGUGGGAAAUAAAAGAAAUGUAACAGUGUAUAAACAAACUUAAAUGCUCGGCAGAUGCAUCACUCUUCGUUUCAACUUCCAAAAGAAAUAAACAAGAACCCCUGCAGCCUACAUUGCAACGUUAAAGCGUCAAAAGAAGUGGCGGCUGGUCCUCGGUAGCAAUCCCGAGACCUCCUCCUCCUCGUAAAAAAAUGAAUCAUCCAACCUAGAAGUAAGCGCCUUCCAUGGACCAUGCUUGUUGGAUUGCUGCAACUCCAAGCCCAAUAUUAGCUGCUGUAACGAAUAUACUGCAAGCUACCAGAUGCUGCAAGCUGCUGGAUUCUCUUUACUUCAAGCACCUUGCUGGACCACUUCUUCUCUACACCGCAUGCUGCACAUGGGCCGCACCUCCUAGCUUGAUGGAUGCGUGAAGGGAUCUACACCAGGCCGUGAAGGUUGGACGCUGCUGUCUCAACUUCAAAUGUGGAUGGGCUGCUGCAGGUUGCACCGUGAAGAGUUGCUAGAUGCACCGCUAAACGCUGCUCAAGCAAUGCUGGCUGCAACCUUUUAUUAAGUUGGACCAGCUGCUGCACGUGAACAUGAGGAACUGCUGCUUGCUUCCAGACCAGGCCCUGAAGUUGC
This 716-nucleotide long non-coding RNA is filed under the name Vigna radiata. RNAcentral's name for it is "long non-coding RNA (VRAD_LNC016576)". Lineage: Eukaryota; Viridiplantae; Streptophyta; Magnoliopsida; Fabales; Fabaceae. The record is from RNAcentral.